CUCUGAAGUGAAAACCCAAGAAGGCAGGCUUGCUCUGUCUGUCUGUCUGUCCACCUGCCUGCCUGCCUGUCUCUGGUAGUUACUCCUGCUUUCGAGGCUCCUGCAGAAACAGCUAGCAGGCUGUGGGAUGAGUUCACCACUGAGAACUUCUUGGCCUGGGCUGGAGAAAGGGUCUCCUCCAAGGAAGAGACAGCCACAAACAACCAAGCUAGAAUAAUAGCUAAUCCAGUUUAAUUUCUGAGGUCUGCACCUCUGACUGCGACAUCUGACGGGGCUUUGUCCCCCCAACACUGCCAUCCGGAGGCAUCAGACCUUCACGUGAGUUUGGAUGAGGAUGAACUGCACAGCAUCGAUCAGACGGAAUGUGGAAUUAGAGUGGAAAGCAAUAAUUCUGAGAAAAAGUGAGAACGCUUCGUGUGAGCAUGCAGCAGGUGAGGUACAGCGUGUGUGCAGAGCACUUGGCUGUGCUGAACUCACUGCUUAAGCCAGGCCUCGUGGAACUGUGGCUCCCGCAAGACCUGGAGGCCGAGGGAGCUGGGUUGGAAGCCAAACCCCACUUCACUCUCCUGCAUGAGCCCGCAGGAGGUUGAACUUACAGCUCAUAGUUUGUAGAACUGGAGACAGCCGUGGAUCAAGCCGACUUGUGUGGUUGUUGGGGGCGGGAACCAGGUGACAGCGAUGAAAAUUGAUGUUGCCCUUUCUUUUCUUCGUUGCUUCAUAAUUCCCAAUACCGUAAAAAGAAGAAAAAAAAAUUCUGCAUAAAAAGAAAUGCGUACAA
RNAcentral lists this long non-coding RNA (778 nucleotides) under Mus pahari (shrew mouse). RNAcentral's name for it is "lncRNA (MGP_PahariEiJ_G0005394.1)". Lineage: Eukaryota; Metazoa; Chordata; Mammalia; Rodentia; Muridae. The record is from RNAcentral.